AAAGGAUUCCUUCUCCUGAUCUAACUCCUACUGACCCUAGUAUUAUUCUCCCCUGACCUCCUAGGAGACCCGGACAACUACACCCCAGCCAACCCUCUCAGCACUCCCCCUCAUAUUAAGCCAGAGUGAUAUUUCCUAUUUGCCUACGCCAUCCUACGUUCUAUCCCCAACAAACUAGGCGGCGUAUUGGCCCUUAUCCUUUCCAUCUUAAUCUUAGCACUCAUCCCCACCCUGCACAUAUCAAAACAACGAAGCAUAAUAUUCCGACCUCUUAGUCAAUGCGUGUUCUGACUCUUAGUAGCAGACUUACUAACACUAACAUGAAUCGGCGGCCAGCCAGUGGAACACCCAUACGUAAUUAUCGGCCAACUAGCCUCAAUCCUCUACUUCUCCCUAAUUCUCAUCUUCAUACCACUCGCAAGCACCAUCGAAAACAACCUUCUAAAGUGAAGA
This is a long non-coding RNA of Equus quagga, 453 nucleotides long. RefSeq lists it as uncharacterized. Lineage: Eukaryota; Metazoa; Chordata; Mammalia; Perissodactyla; Equidae. The transcript has 3 exons. The record is from RefSeq and is a predicted model, not a curated record.